GGACAGUUUCUAAAUCAAGUCCCUGCCUUAUCUUCAGGGAUUAUGCCUCUUUUAAAGCAUUAAAAAUAUUUUCUGCCUCCUGGUUUCCACAGAGGAGAGCAUGACGGUCUGCUCUGUGGAGAUGCAGUUCUCAGGCUCUGUUCUUUCCCACCGGAGGCAGGUAUGUGCUACACCCAUCCUGUAAUUAGUGCCUGCUCUGGGCCUCUUGUGGAGGAGGAUUGAAGUUUGCCAACAUAUUUGAAACAACUCUCCGUGUCAUUGGGAGAGCUCCAUGAAAGCACUCUGGCUUAUUAAAAAUGUCCAAAAUCACAUAUGUGUCUGCCAGGCAAAGGAUCAUCCCAGCUAAGGAUGAAAAAUGUUUUAGAUCAGAGAGUCCAUGCCCCUGCAAAGGUCCCAAAAUAGGAGACAUGUACAGUUCCAUCUUCAGCCUGAGGAGGCUUAAAGAAUAUUUCCCAUUUUCCCAGGGAGAGCCCUAAGCACCAGGGCAUGGAAGACAUCGUCCUGCUUUCUGGCUGAAGCUGAAAACAAGAUUAAGUCAAAGAAUUUAUAGAAGAGAGAGGGUGAGCCUGUAACGGUUAGGAGAUAAGGCUCUUUGGGACAAAGAAGGAAUUCAGCCUGGGUCCGAGUGCUGCCCUCUCAGCUCUGGAGGUGAGCCCAGCACCCAACAGGCUCUGCUGGAAAACACCCAUGGGGCAAGGAGUGAGCACAGGGGGAGUGCCACAGGAACACACCUACACCUUGACUCAUCCUCACCAGCUGACAGACAGGCUCAGAGAAGCCAUGUGAAGUUGAGUGCAAGUUCAUUUGCUUGUGACCUGGGACAGAGCAAAACCUUUGCCUCAGUUCUCAGUCUUUACGGCCCAAGGAGUGAUAGGCACUGAAGGACUUGCACCCACUUUUGACUGCAGCUGGCAUGGUACUGUGCAGGCAAAGAAUAAGAGACAUUUGCUCUCUGCAACACACUGCCUAGAAAUCUGGCAGGUCCAAAAUAACCUUGUAUUUCCAUGAAUAGGGGGGGUGCAGCCAUGAGCCUUCAUAAC
Molecule: long non-coding RNA, 1040 nt
Filed under: Anas platyrhynchos platyrhynchos (common mallard)
Lineage: Eukaryota; Metazoa; Chordata; Aves; Anseriformes; Anatidae
Description: lncRNA (ENSAPLG00000023695.1)
Source: RNAcentral